Molecule: ribosomal RNA, 121 nt
Organism: Panthera pardus (leopard)
Lineage: Eukaryota; Metazoa; Chordata; Mammalia; Carnivora; Felidae
Source: Ensembl
GCCUAUGGCCCCACCGCCUUCAACAUGCCGGGUCUAGUAUGAUCUGGAAAGCUAAACACGUUGGGGGCCUGGUUAGUACUUUGAUGGAAGGCUACCUGUGAACACCUGGGUGCUGGAGGCU